Molecule: long non-coding RNA, 268 nt
Filed under: Sorghum bicolor (sorghum)
Lineage: Eukaryota; Viridiplantae; Streptophyta; Magnoliopsida; Poales; Poaceae
Description: long non-coding RNA (SBIC_LNC000902)
Source: RNAcentral
CCGGGGAACGGUAGCUGUGCUAGUUUCGAACCAAGUCGUCCGUGUAUCCUUUUUCUUUUCCUUUUUUACCACAUUCAUCUUACCAUUUUCACCACACCAUAUGGAUUUCACUCUGAGCAUUAAUGAGCAUGGAAUUUAUUUCAUAGCCACUUCAUUUACUCCAUGCUCAUAUGCAACAUCUUCCCAAUCCAUUGGUUUUUCCAACAUCACCACAUUCGAGAUCUCCAACCCCCUCAUCCUUUCUAUUUAUAAAAACUUUAAAAGGGCG